This 674-nucleotide ribosomal RNA is filed under the name uncultured bacterium. Its description in RNAcentral is "bacterial SSU rRNA". It matches the Rfam family "Bacterial small subunit ribosomal RNA", at positions 56 to 774 of the family's 1533-position model. The record is from RNAcentral.
UGCAAGUCGAGCGGGCGUAGCAAUACGUCAGCGGCAGACGGGUGAGUAACACGUGGGAACGUACCUUUUGGUUCGGAACAACUGAGGGAAACUUCAGCUAAUACCGGAUAAGCCCUAACGGGGAAAGAUUUAUCGCCGAAAGAUCGGCCCGCGUCUGAUUAGCUAGUUGGUGAGGUAAUGGCUCACCAAGGCGACGAUCAGUAGCUGGUCUGAGAGGAUGAUCAGCCACACUGGGACUGAGACACGGCCCAGACUCCUACGGGAGGCAGCAGUGGGGAAUAUUGGACAAUGGGGGCAACCCUGAUCCAGCCAUGCCGCGUGAGUGAUGAAGGCCCUAGGGUUGUAAAGCUCUUUUGUGCGGGAAGAUAAUGACGGUACCGCAAGAAUAAGCCCCGGCUAACUUCGUGCCAGCAGCCGCGGUAAUACGAAGGGGGCUAGCGUUGCUCGGAAUCACUGGGCGUAAAGGGUGCGUAGGCGGGUCUUUAAGUCAGGGGUGAAAUCCUGGGGCUCAACUCCAGAACUGCCUUUGAUACUGAGGAUCUUGAGUCCGGAAGAGGUGAGUGGAACUGCGAGUGUGGAGGUGAAAUUCGUAGAUAUUCGCAAGAACACCAGUGGCGAAGGCGGCUCACUGGUCCGGUACUGACGCUGAGGCACGAAAGCGUGGGGAGCAAACA